CUCAACCUCAGGUACCUCAGUAUUUUCCUAGGCGUCCCUGUCCUGGCUGUGUUUUACCACUUCCUCAAAAAGAGGUGAAUGCACCGACUUUGCCCUCCCGUUGCUCCCAUUCUCCCUGCCCUUUCGCUCUUCUGCACAUUAACCAACCUCUGCCAAUGUCUUCCAGGGCCAAGAAAAUGCUGUUCCCGCCUCUGCCCAACCCCAUGGACAGCGAAGCCAUCAAGUUCCCAGCUGAGGAGAUAAGCCAGGUGAAGCCACGGCCAGGCUUUGUGGAGCCAUCAGAGAAAAUCAGCCCCACAGGACCGCUGGUGACCAAGUUUAUCUCGGACAAAGGGGAGCCUGAUAUGAACACAGAGACGCACUCGCUGCAUCUCUACACCGUGACUGAAGAAACGGCAGAGAUGUUACAGGCCAAGGAGGGGCAGGCAGGCUCUGAGAAUGACCUGCCAUUUGAAUAUAGAAGGCAGGUGCUUCUGACCCCAGCGGAAGAGGAACAGGAAGAAGAUGAUUUCAGAGAAUUCGCUGGUGUUUGUGGUCAAAAUAACCUUGCCGAAGCAGGCACAGGGCCUUCUCAGCCCCACCCAGACGAGGGUGCUGCCAUGGAGCAGACAGGGCUCUCUCGGCCUCUGGUACAGCUCUCCUUGCUGCUCUCAGACAAGCCCGUCAUCAUAAAGAAUGGGGGCAGCUUUGACCUUUUACAUAAGUGAACCUUGUCUUGAGGGUUCAGCUUGGGACAGCCUGGGAAGACAGAGUGUUGCAGUGACAAGGCACCAUGUGCUCAGGCCUGUCUGGGCAGAGACCCCAUGGUGCAGGACACAGGGGCCUCAGCAGAUCUCCUGAGAGACUUCCGAUCUCAGUCUCUUUUUUCAGAGUUUGAGUGUGAACUCUCUGCAGCAGGGGCUGUCGUUUAUUAUACAUGUCCCAGUCCCACAAUGAAACACUGAAGAGGAAGCCAGAUUUCAGAGCGGUAGCCAUGUUAGUCUGUAUCAGCAAAAACAAGGAGUUGUUUUUACUGAAUAGGAAGAAUGAACUGUUCAAACAUCCUUUAUAUUUUGAUGUGUGAGAAAAGGUCCCUCAGUCCAGCCAUGGUCUCCUAUUUUCUCAUAUUCCAGAGCCCCUUUCCUUGAUUAGUAUCAGGGGGGAGCCGUGUUAGUCUGUAUCCACAAAACAGCAAGGAGUCUGGUGGCACCUUAAAGACUAGCAGAUUUAUUUGGGCAGAAGCUUUUGCAUCUGAAGAAGUGGGGUUUUUUAGCCACGAAAGCUUAUGCCCAAAUAAAUCUUUAGUCUUUAAGGUGCCA
Long non-coding RNA from Gopherus agassizii (Agassiz's desert tortoise), 1298 nucleotides. Lineage: Eukaryota; Metazoa; Chordata; Testudines; Testudinidae. The record is from Ensembl.